GAUGAACGCUGGCGGCGUGCCUAAUACAUGCAAGUCGAGCGAACAGAUAAGGAGCUUGCUCCUUUGACGUUAGCGGCGUACGGGUGAGUAACACGUGGGUAACCUACCUAUAAGACUGGAAUAACUCCGGGAAACCGGGGCUAAUGCCGGAUAACAUUUAGAACCGCAUGGUUCUAAAGUGAAAGAUGGUUUUGCUAUCACUUAUAGAUGGACCCGCGCCGUAUUAGCUAGUUGGUAAGGUAACGGCUUACCAAGGCAACGAUACGUAGCCGACCUGAGAGGGUGAUCGGCCACACUGGAACUGAGACACGGUCCAGACUCCUACGGGAGGCAGCAGUAGGGAAUCUUCCGCAAUGGGCGAAAGCCUGACGGAGCAACGCCGCGUGAGUGAUGAAGGUCUUCGGAUCGUAAAACUCUGUUAUUAGGGAAGAACAAAUGUGUAAGUAACUGUGCACGUCUUGACGGUACCUAAUCAGAAAGCCACGGCUAACUACGUG
This 497-nucleotide ribosomal RNA is filed under the name uncultured bacterium. Its description in RNAcentral is "partial 16S ribosomal RNA". It matches the Rfam family "Bacterial small subunit ribosomal RNA", at positions 28 to 507 of the family's 1533-position model. The record is from RNAcentral.